Sphenodon punctatus (tuatara) is the source of this 135-nucleotide small nucleolar RNA. Lineage: Eukaryota; Metazoa; Chordata; Lepidosauria; Sphenodontia; Sphenodontidae. The record is from Ensembl.
GAGCAUUGUCUUUGAACCAGUGACCGGCCCUCUCAUGGCCUCACUGGCUACGCAACAGUGCAAGAGUAAGACUUGUUUAUAACUGGAGCUGCUUAGCUAAAACCUGAGUGGCUCUUUUAAGGACAAGUUACAGAU